Molecule: ribosomal RNA, 1437 nt
Filed under: uncultured organism
Description: 16S ribosomal RNA
Rfam family: Bacterial small subunit ribosomal RNA
Source: RNAcentral
CGCUAGCUACAGGCUUAACACAUGCAAGCCGAGGGGCAGCAUGGUCUUAGCUUGCUAAGGCCGAUGGCGACCGGCGCACGGGUGAGUAACACGUAUCCAACCUGCCGUCUACUCUUGGACAGCCUUCUGAAAGGAAGAUUAAUACAAGAUGGCAUCAUGAGUCCGCAUGUUCACAUGAUUAAAGGUAUUCCGGUAGACGAUGGGGAUGCGUUCCAUUAGAUAGUAGGCGGGGUAACGGCCCACCUAGUCUUCGAUGGAUAGGGGUUCUGAGAGGAAGGUCCCCCACAUUGGAACUGAGACACGGUCCAAACUCCUACGGGAGGCAGCAGUGAGGAAUAUUGGUCAAUGGGCGAGAGCCUGAACCAGCCAAGUAGCGUGAAGGAUGACUGCCCUAUGGGUUGUAAACUUCUUUUAUAAAGGAAUAAAGUCGGGUAUGGAUACCCGUUUGCAUGUACUUUAUGAAUAAGGAUCGGCUAACUCCGUGCCAGCAGCCGCGGUAAUACGGAGGAUCCGAGCGUUAUCCGGAUUUAUUGGGUUUAAAGGGAGCGUAGAUGGAUGUUUAAGUCAGUUGUGAAAGUUUGCGGCUCAACCGUAAAAUUGCAGUUGAUACUGGAUAUCUUGAGUGCAGUUGAGGCAGGCGGAAUUCGUGGUGUAGCGGUGAAAUGCUUAGAUAUCACGAAGAACUCCGAUUGCGAAGGCAGCCUGCUAAGCUGCAACUGACAUUGAGGCUCGAAGGUGUGGGUAUCAAACAGGAUUAGAUACCCUGGUAGUCCACACGGUAAACGAUGAAUACUCGCUGUUUGCGAUAUACGGCAAGCGGCCAAGCGAAAGCGUUAAGUAUUCCACCUGGGGAGUACGCCGGCAACGGUGAAACUCAAAGGAAUUGACGGGGGCCCGCACAAGCGGAGGAACAUGUGGUUUAAUUCGAUGAUACGCGAGGAACCUUACCCGGGCUUAAAUUGCAGAUGAAUUACGGUGAAAGCCGUAAGCCGCAAGGCAUCUGUGAAGGUGCUGCAUGGUUGUCGUCAGCUCGUGCCGUGAGGUGUCGGCUUAAGUGCCAUAACGAGCGCAACCCUUGUUGUCAGUUACUAACAGGUUCCGCUGAGGACUCUGACAAGACUGCCAUCGUAAGAUGUGAGGAAGGUGGGGAUGACGUCAAAUCAGCACGGCCCUUACGUCCGGGGCUACACACGUGUUACAAUGGGGGGUACAGAGGGCCGCUACCACGCGAGUGGAUGCCAAUCCCCAAAACCUCUCUCAGUUCGUACUGGAGUCUGCAACCCGACUCCACGAAGCUGGAUUCGCUAGUAAUCGCGCAUCAGCCACGGCGCGGUGAAUACGUUCCCGGGCCUUGUACACACCGCCCGUCAAGCCAUGGGAGCCGGGGGUACCUGAAGUGCGUAACCGCGAGGAGCGCCCUAGGGUAAAACUGGUGAC